GGGGCCGCGCUGCCGGCAGCGGGGAGGAAGAGGAGGGCGGGCCGGGUGCCAGGGGAGGGAAGGCCGCGCGGUGAGGUGGGGCCGAAGGCGGGAGCUGUGUGGGGCCCGGCCCAGGUGGGCGAGAGUGCGUCGAGGGCCCUGAGUGGUGUGGCUUUCCUCCCCCUCGGACACGGAGGCCCUUCCCGCACCACGGUGAUCUCUGUUUGGACACUUACAGUUACCCGUCAUGUUGAUAUGCACUUGACUCACCCUAGCCUCGGGCCCCAUGCCCCACACGGAUGCUCAUGGAGGCAGCAGGAAGAUGAGGAGCUCUCCAGGGUUCUGCUCAAGCUGAGCUGCAAGCAGCUGGAGGAUAAGCAUUUGGAGAGAAAUACCUCCAAACUGCCCUUUGAUCCAGCCAGCUUGAGUCAGCUUGCAGAAACGAGGGUAUGACCAAUGGCUAAAUGGGGUAAAUAGUGCACUAAAUUGCUAAUGGCUCUCUACUGCAAGAUUAAAGAUGGAAACUAAUUCUGGCAAAUUCCCAUCUACCUGCCUACAUCGUGAUGUUCUGAACAGUGCAUUGAAUCUUCCACAUGAUGUUUCUGGAAGAAUAGUUCAAGUAGGCUGGCGGUGGUGCGACAAUGGUUGCUCUGGAGGAGGCAGCUGAGGAGGAGCCUGCAGGGUUUCAGAAACAGUGAUGUUGAAAGAGGCGGACAAGCAGU
RNAcentral lists this long non-coding RNA (701 nucleotides) under Gallus gallus (chicken). RNAcentral's name for it is "long non-coding RNA NONGGAT007279". Lineage: Eukaryota; Metazoa; Chordata; Aves; Galliformes; Phasianidae. The record is from RNAcentral.